UACCAGCUCUCCGAGUGGUGUGGAUGUUUAUUGGGCCUAAAGCAUCCGUAGCUGGCUGGGCAAGUCCCCUGUUAAAUCCACCGAUUUAAUCGUUGGAGUGCGGGGGAUACUGUUCGGCUAGGGGACGGGAGAGGCAGACGGUAUUUUCGGGGUAGGGGUGAAAUCCUAUAAUCCCGGGAAGACCACCAGUGGCGAAGGCUGUCUGCUAGAACGCGCCCGACGGUGAGGGAUGAAAGCUGGGGGAGCGAACCGGAUUAGAUACCCGGGUAGUCCCAGCUGUAAACGAUGCAGGCUAGGUGUUUGGGCGGCCACGUGCCGCUCUAGUGCCGCAGGGAAGCCGUUAAGCCUGCCGCCUGGGGAGUACGGCCGCAAGGCUGAAACUUAAAGGAAUUGGCAGGGGAGCACCACAAGGGGUGAAGCUUGCGGUUC
RNAcentral lists this ribosomal RNA (429 nucleotides) under uncultured archaeon. Its description in RNAcentral is "bacterial SSU rRNA". It matches the Rfam family "Archaeal small subunit ribosomal RNA", at positions 474 to 903 of the family's 1478-position model. The record is from RNAcentral.